RNAcentral lists this ribosomal RNA (497 nucleotides) under uncultured bacterium. Its description in RNAcentral is "partial 16S ribosomal RNA". It matches the Rfam family "Bacterial small subunit ribosomal RNA", at positions 28 to 507 of the family's 1533-position model. The record is from RNAcentral.
GAUGAACGCUGGCGGCGUGCCUAAUACAUGCAAGUCGAGCGAACGGACGAGAAGCUCGCUCUUCUGAUGUUAGCGGCGGACGGGUGAGUAACACGUGGAUCACCUACCUAUAAGUCUGGGAUAACUUCGGGAAACCGGAGCUAAUACCGGAUAAUAUUUUGAACCGCAUGGUUCAAAAGUUAAAGACGGUCUUGCCGUCACUUAUAGAUGAAUCCGCGCUGCAUUAGCUAGUUGGUAAGGUAACGGCUUACCAAGGCAACGAUGCAUAGCCGACCUGAGAGGGUGAUCAGCCACACUGGAACUGAGACACGGUCCAGACUCCUACGGGAGGCAGCAGUGGGGAAUCUUCGACAAUGGGCGAAAGCCUGACGGAGCAAAGCCGCGUGAGUGAUGAAGGUCUUCGGAUCGUAAAACUCUGUUAUUGGGGAAGAACAUAUGUGUAAGUAACUGUGACCAUCUUGACGGUACCUAAUCAGAAAGCCACGGCUAACUACGUG